RNAcentral lists this ribosomal RNA (257 nucleotides) under uncultured bacterium. RNAcentral describes it as "partial 16S ribosomal RNA". It matches the Rfam family "Bacterial small subunit ribosomal RNA", at positions 524 to 776 of the family's 1533-position model. The record is from RNAcentral.
UACAGAGGGGGCAAGCGUUAUUCGGAAUUAUUGGGCGUAAAGGGCGCGUAGGCGGCUUGGCAAGUGGAAGGUGAAAUCCCCUCGGCUUAGCCGAGGAACUGCCCUCCAAACUGCUUGCGCUUGAGACCGGGAGAGGUGAGUGGAAUUCCCAGUGUAGCGGUGAAAUGCGUAGAUAGUUGGGAGGAACACCAGUGGCGAAGGCGGCUCACUGGACCGGAACUGGACGCUGAUGCGCGAAAGCGUGGGGAGCAAACGGG